CGUUGUUCCUGUAUUACAAUGCCAUGUCAGACCACACCAUAUUUUCAAGUACCACUGCCUGUAACUGUGAGCUGAAUAAUUCAGGUGUUCUGAGGUGUUUCAUUUCUCAUUAAAACUAAAGACUUCAACAGAGACUAGUUAUUAAAGAUAGAUAACAGAUAACACCACAAUGCAACCAGACGGUCAGCAAGCAAGGAAGGCUUUCAUUUGUUACUGCAGUGUAAUGGGCUAUACUGUGUGUCUAUCAAUUGGAGGCUUAAGUAGAGCACAACAAAGCUGGGUUCUCAUCUCAGUUACAUGGGUGUUCUUCACCCAUUGACACGCCUGGCACCAAGGGAAGUUUGAGCUGAGGGUUUGCUCUUGGUUUGUCUGGGCCAUGUUUGGGUUUUGUUUGGUUUUAAAGAAAGAAGCUCUAGAGCCACUCCAGCUACUUACUGAACAUCUAACCUCUGUGCUAGCUUGGUUCUUUUAUCUGUGACACUGAUUUACUUCAAUCAUAUCUAUAGAUUCAUAUUACUUCAGGCAAUGAUGAUAUGCCGAUUACAUACAAGCAUGUGCUUUGCAAGAUUUUUGUAAGCCCAUGAAGUUUGCAUAUGGAAGCAUGAUACAAGCACAAAGAUUAAGUCAAUCUGUCUUUAGGCAGAUGGGACUCCUAACACUUUCAGCUAUCACACUGGUUUGUGAUUAGCCAUUUUAAAAAAGGAAUGUAGUAAAAAUGAGGACUUGACUCCACUGAAUUAAUCCCUAAUAUUCUUCUCCAUCUCUAGUGGCAAAUUAAGCACUACACUGCAUGCUCCUGACCAUAAAGACCACAUUCUGUGAAGCUCCUGUUUUCCUUGUUCAAGUUCAUUUCAAGUCAACUGUUACCAGAGGGACUGACUUGGAUUUUGGUAAACUCUUACCAAAGUCCAGCUGGUGUUUGUAGAUCAAACCACAAAUACAAGAGAACUAAAUACUUAUCCCUGACUAAUAUGUUUCUCACACUCAAAUUCACAGUGAAUAGCUUGUUACAAAAUUGAAGAGGUAUUCAGACUACUUGAUCAUUCUUAUGCUUGUUGGAUUUUAUAUCAGUACAAGCUAAAAUUAACAUUGAUGUUUCAGAAAAGCGGUAGUUUUUCUAGCUGAAAAAGAAAGUAAAGAGUCCAAUGUAACAACGAAAGCCACCUUUGUGGGGGAGUCUGUUUGUCCAUGUGCUGAAUUCCGGCAACUUCAGACAGCACUGUGCAAAGUACAAAGAUCCAUCCCAGUUGAGUUGACUGAAGAACUGGGGACAAACUGAUCAGGUCUGAGCCAAGGUCCACUGGGCAUUUCUAGGAAGUAGGUAUUGUAAAAUAAAUACAAUAUUCACUGAAGUUUGACCAGGACUUGGGUCUAUCCAAAAAAUUCUUCAUCUUCCUUCCCCCAAUUUAGCACAGCAUACAGCCUCCUUGGUUUAUGAUGCCAAACACAGCUUUGCAACUCUUCUUAGCCUCCUCAAGACUCUCUUUAACUGGGUUACCAAAAGAAGGCAAUGAUAAAUAUGUCCAUGCUGCAGGCUGGUUAUGCAGUUUUUGCACAACCUGAAGCUAACUGAAGAAAUAGCACAAGCUCUGGGAAAUCCAAAAGGAGAAGUCACACCAUCAUUUGCAUUUAAGCCACAUUCACCCACAUCUUCUGCAGUCUCACUACCAGCUUGUUCCAUGGCUCAAGCACACUAUUGCUGUAUCCCUGCUGAAUACUGGUGUCUGUGGUUGAUGGCAAUUAAUCAUUUCCUUGGGAGAAGUUCAGUUAAAGUUGGCAUUGGUUAAACAGUAACCACUGAGUUAGAUAACAUUAUCACUUAGGCAUUAAAAGAUAGCCUGGUUUUCUCCUUCAGAGUUAAACAUGUAGGAGACGCCUGAAUCCCAGAAAACCCUCAUACAUCUUAAGUGUGAAACUCCAGCUAAGGUUAUCUUCCUGUCCUGGGAAGAGUCCCAACAUGCAUCAGAGGGAGAGAAAGGGAGGAGGCUGCACAACUGCCAUGUCGUAUGACUGGCAUCAACAGGAAGGCCCCUCUUGUCCUCCCCACAGCAAAUCCAAGCUAGGCUACUUCAUCCCAAUAUGCACUAAGCCAACAGUCAUCAUCAGUUAACGAGGAAUCUUAAUCUAGUGAGAUCAAAGUAAUGCUUUUAUAUACUGCUUACCACAGACAUCCAAGACCAGUUUCCUUAAGUCUGUGCCAUAGCAAAAACACGUUUGUAAAGGACAUAUAUUCCAUGUUUUCAUGCCAGAGUCAAGUGCUGCCCAAAAGCUCCACAGCUUGGCAAGUGCAGAGAGUGCUGGAAAAUGUUCUUCCUAAAAUACCACAAUUGUUUAUCAUUAGUGCUAUUGAUGCAUUUCAACUUAAUAAAAUGUUAUGAAAGCCAUUA
Molecule: long non-coding RNA, 2387 nt
Organism: Pezoporus occidentalis (night parrot)
Lineage: Eukaryota; Metazoa; Chordata; Aves; Psittaciformes; Psittacidae
Exons: 2
Source: RefSeq, a predicted model, not a curated record